GGGGAUAUAGCUCAGUUGGUAGAGUGCUUGCCUCACAUGCAAGAAGGCCCUGGGUUCAAUCCCCAGCACCG
Ictidomys tridecemlineatus (thirteen-lined ground squirrel) is the source of this 71-nucleotide non-coding RNA. The record is from Rfam. Lineage: Eukaryota; Metazoa; Chordata; Mammalia; Rodentia; Sciuridae.